This 1361-nucleotide long non-coding RNA is filed under the name Homo sapiens (human). RNAcentral describes it as "long independently transcribed non-coding RNA 636 (LINC00636)". The record is from RNAcentral. Lineage: Eukaryota; Metazoa; Chordata; Mammalia; Primates; Hominidae.
CUCAACACUGUAGAGGACCCUUAAUGCCCACUGGCUGGCGGCUGUCAGUUACCGGCAUCCUGCACACGUGGAUAGUUUGUUCUUUUUUGAAGGGAGAUCCAAGCUCCCACAGGCAAGAGCACAUCCUACUGGACCUGAGGAAGAAAAUGAUCUGUCCAUACCCACUGCCUGGAGAAUGAUCUGUUGCCAGAAGCUGGAUGACUUCGGGCCUAGCCAAAUGCCAAGCUAUGCUAAGGGAAGUUGGGGUUCUUGUCCUGGAAAAUUGCAGAAUGGACGCAGAGAUCCAUUACUGCGCGCGGCGGGGAAGAGGACGCCGCCGGGAGCUGGUGCGUGACACACUGCAGCCUCGCGGGCUGCCCGGGACUUCAUCAAGCCCGGGUCGGCUCGGGGCGGGCAGGGGUAGGAUCCAUACCGCCGAACUGCGGCCCCGCUGCUCGCAGCCGCUCUUCCGGGAGCGCCCGCUUAGGACUCACUCCCGCCCAUUCCUUACCUCGAUGGAAUCCUUAGCCCUUAGAGAGAGGGCUAAAAAACAAAUAAACAAACAACAGACAAACAAAAAAAAAACCAAAUUCCAAAUGGCCCCCGGACCCUCCCGCAGAUGCAGGGCGCACACUGGCCAGUUCUAACCAUAGACUUGACUGCAUGUUGACAAGGGUUUCCAACCUAGCUUCCCCGAGGUACUGCAUGAAUCAGUCCUUGCUCAGAUGGUGGUUGCUGUAAAUAGCUGCAAUUUCCCUCCUUCCGUCUCAAAGCACGGAUGGGAAUGGAUUUGCAGCAGGGACUCUGCAUUAUAUUUAAGGUCUUGGUGAGAUGGACACGGGCUCCAUCAGCUCCAGACUUCCUGGGACAUCUCGGCAUUUCCAGGUCCGUUUGCCCCAAUGGUGGAAGUCACCGCCCAUAUAUGAGGAAAUAAAUGUCCACACCUAGCAUUUGGGAUAACGUGGCUAAAUUGUUUUCAGUUUUUGAAAGACGCUGCAGAAAAAGAGGCAAAACCUGAUACAGCACAGCAGCAUGCCCCUCCCGCCCCCAAAUACGAGAUCGAAUCACAUUUUUAAGGGAAAAAAUAGGCAUUCUCAUCUUAGAUAUGUAUGUAGCAUAUUUUAUAAUAUAUAUUUUUAUCUAAAAAUUAUGCUUUUCUGUAUUUUACAACUUUCUUUAUUAAGCAUUUUUAUUUUGUGCUAUUUUUUACAGUAAAAACUCUGAAGACCCAAAGAAAUUUAAUAUUAGCUUAAAUGUACAUUAGAUAUAUUUAUAGAAUCAAUUUAUUAGCUGCUAUAUUGUUUGACAUAAAAGGCUUUUGAACUAAAAAAAAAAAAAAAAAAAAAAAAAAAAAAAAAAAAAAAAAAAAAAAAAAAAAAAAA